RNAcentral lists this ribosomal RNA (253 nucleotides) under uncultured bacterium. RNAcentral describes it as "partial 16S ribosomal RNA". It matches the Rfam family "Bacterial small subunit ribosomal RNA", at positions 524 to 776 of the family's 1533-position model. The record is from RNAcentral.
UACGUAGGGUGCAAGCGUUAAUCGGAAUUACUGGGCGUAAAGCGUGCGCAGGCGGUUGUGCAAGACAGAUGUGAAAUCCCCGGGCUCAACCUGGGAAUUGCAUUUGUGACUGCACGGCUAGAGUGUGUCAGAGGGGGGUAGAAUUCCACGUGUAGCAGUGAAAUGCGUAGAGAUGUGGAGGAAUACCGAUGGCGAAGGCAGCCCCCUGGGACGUCACUGACGCUCAUGCACGAAAGCGUGGGGAGCAAACAGG